AUGAACCCCUCCUCGGCCCCGGGUCCAGAUGGCCUGCCCGUGACGUUCUUCAAAACGUUCUGGCCUACCAUCAAGCCGAAGGUCAUGGCCCUGUUUGAGGAAUUCUAUUCGGGCUCCAUGGACCUUGGGCGUCUCAACUAUGGGAUUGUGACCCUCAUCCCCAAGGUCCCGGGAGCUUCUGACAUCCGCCAGUUCCGUCCAAUCACAGUGAUUAAUGUGAUAUUCCGGAUCCCGGCCAAAGGGUACGCCAAUAGGGUGGCCCUCCUCGCUGAUGCGAUUACCCAUCCGAACCAAUCCGCCUUCAUACAAGGUCGAUUUAUUCUGGAUGGGGUGCUAGUAUUUCACGAAGUCCUCCAUGAGGUUUGGCUGAAACGCCAUCGCGCGGUCUUUCUAAAGCUAGACUUCCACAAAGCAUACGACACGGUCCACUGGCCCUUCUUGCGGGAAGUGUUGCUUCGCAAGGGCUACGACGACCGUUGGGUGACUCGCGUCAUGCAGCCUGUCUCCUAUGGCUGGACCGCAGUGAACAUCAACGGUGACAUUGGGCCCUACUUCCCCAUCCUCUGUGGGGUCCGUCAGGGUGACCCUUUCUCGUCGUUCUUGUUCAACAUGGUGGUCGAUGCCCUAGCAUCCAUCCUGGAUAAGGCCAAGGACGCUGGCCAUAUCCGCGGCAUCAUCCCCCACCUAGUCAGAGGGGGAGGGGUCUCCCUCCUUUAA
RNAcentral lists this ribosomal RNA (717 nucleotides) under Triticum aestivum (bread wheat). RNAcentral's name for it is "partial small subunit ribosomal RNA". The record is from RNAcentral. Lineage: Eukaryota; Viridiplantae; Streptophyta; Magnoliopsida; Poales; Poaceae.